UUCAAUAAAAUUUGAAUAAAAUCACAUAAAUACAUUUAAAAUAAGAAUUUAUUUAAUUUGAUCUUUAUUUGUUUCAAUAAAGCAUACACUUAACGAAGAUACACACAUUUACAAAAGUAUAGAUCAUAGUCAUGCACGCAUACCCCAGUACCUGUGUGCAUAUAUCUACCUUUACCAAUUUCAUCGCAACAAAGACUCACCGCAUAUAUCUGUG
RNAcentral lists this long non-coding RNA (214 nucleotides) under Lathyrus oleraceus (garden pea). Its description in RNAcentral is "Pisum sativum (pea) long non-coding RNA (PSAT_LNC038775)". The record is from RNAcentral. Lineage: Eukaryota; Viridiplantae; Streptophyta; Magnoliopsida; Fabales; Fabaceae.